RNAcentral lists this small RNA (811 nucleotides) under Lactobacillus delbrueckii subsp. bulgaricus. RNAcentral describes it as "bacterial LSU rRNA". The stretch from base 358 to 811 matches the Rfam family "Bacterial large subunit ribosomal RNA", at positions 1 to 458 of the family's 2925-position model. The record is from RNAcentral. Lineage: Bacteria; Bacillati; Bacillota; Bacilli; Lactobacillales; Lactobacillaceae.
GUCACACCAUGGAAGUCUGCAAUGCCCAAAGUUGGUGGGAUAACCUUUAUAGGAGUCAGCCGCCUAAGGCAGGGCAGAUGACUGGGGUGAAGUCGUAACAAGGUAGCCGUAGGAGAACCUGCGGCUGGAUCACCUCCUUUCUAAGGAAAACGGAUGGAUGGAGAGCAGAAAUGCUAAAAGAAAUCCAUCAGUUACGGAAGCACACUGCAAAAGAAACUUUGUUCAGUUUUGAGAGUAUCAGCUCUCACUUGUACGUUGAAAACUGAAUAUCUUAAUUCCAAGAAAAAACCGAGAAUCAUUGAGAUCAAUGAAAACAUUGCAAAGCGACCGAGAGAGUUCGAAAGAACAAACUUGCAAGGUCAAGUGAAGAAGGGCGCACGGUGAAUGCCUUGGCACUGGAAGCCGAUGAAGGACGCGACUAACCGCGAAAGUCUUCGGGGAGCCGUAAGUAGGCUUUGAUCCGGAGGUCUCCGAAUGGGGGAACCCAGCAUGUGCAGACAUGCUAUCCUUAAGUGAAUACAUAGCUUAAGGAAGGAACACGCAGUGAACUGAAACAUCUAAGUAGCUGCAGGAAGAGAAAGAAAUAUCGAUUUCCCAAGUAGCGGCGAGCGAACAGGAAAGAGCCCAAACCGGCAGAUUUAUCUGCCGGGGUUGUAGGACUGAGACAUGGCACUUCAGAGGAUAGCAGAAGCGUUUGGGAAAGCGCGCCAGAGAGGGUGAGAGCCCCGUAAGCGAAAUCCAAAGAAGGCCUAUCAGUAUCCUGAGUAGGGCGGGACACGUGAAAUCCCGUUUGAAUCCGCGAGGACCAUCU